GAGCUAAUGCCGGAUGUGACUUUUGGAAAGCAUUUUCUGAAAUUCAAAGUUGGGGACCGUAAGGCCUGACGCUUCAUGAUAAGCCCGCGGUCUAUCAGCUAGUUGGUGAGGUAAUGGCUCACCAAGGCUAAGACGGAUAGCUGGUCUGAGAGGACGACCAGCCACACUGGAACUGAGACACGGUCCAGACACCUACGGGUGGCAGCAGUCGAGAAUUUUUCACAAUGGGCGAAAGCCUGAUGGAGCGACGCCGCGUGGGGGAUGAAUGGCUUCGGCCCGUAAACCCCUGUCAUUUGCGAACAAAUCUUACCGGUUAACAACCGGCAAGUUGAUUGUAGCGAAAGAGGAAGGGACGGCUAACUCUGUGCCAGCAGCCGCGGUAAUACAGAGGUCCCAAGCGUUGUUCGGAUUCACUGGGCGUAAAGGGUGCGUAGGUGGUGAGGUAAGUCGGAUGUGAAAUCUCCAGGCUCAACCUGGAAACUGCAUUGGAAACUGCCUUGCUAGAGGAUUUGAGGGGGGAUUGGAAUACUUGGUGUAGCAGUGAAAUGCGUAGAUAUCAAGUGGAACACCAGUGGCGAAGGCGAAUCCCUGGAAAAUACCUGACACUGAGGCACGAAAGCUAGGGGAGCAAACAGGAUUAGAUACCCUGGUAGUCCACGCCCUAAACGAUGUCGACUAGUUGUUGGGGUUAUUAUGACCUCAGUAACGAAGCUAACGCAUGAAGUCGACCGCCUGGGGAGUACGGCCGCAAGGUUAAAACUCAAAGGAAUUGACGGGGACCCGCACAAGCGGUGGAUGAUGUGGAUUAAUUCGAUGCAACGCGAAGAACCUUACCUACCCUUGACAUGUCACUAACGAAACAGAGAUGUAUUAGGUGCCCGAAAGGGAAAGUGAACACAGGUGCUGCAUGGCUGUCGUCAGCUCGUGUCGUGAGAUGUUGGGUUAAGUCCCGCAACGAGCGCAACCCUUGUCAUUAGUUGCUACGGAUAGAGCACUCUAAUGAGACUGCUGGUGAUAAACCGGAGGAAGGUGGGGAUGACGUCAAGUCCUCAUGGCCCUUAUGGGUAGGGCUUCACACGUCAUACAAUGGUCGGUACAGAGGGUCGCCAACCCGCGAGGGGGAGCUAAUCUCACAAAGCCGAUCGUAGUCCGGAUUGUAGUCUGCAACUCGACUACAUGAAGUCGGAAUCGCUAGUAAUCGCAGAUCAGCAUGUUGCGGUGAAUACGUUCCCGGGUCUUGUACACACCGCCCGUCACACCAUGGGAGUGGAUUUUGCCAGAAGUAGGUAGUCUAACCGCAAGGAGGGCGCUUACCACGGUGAGAUUCAUGACUGGGGUGAAGUCGGAACAAGGUA
RNAcentral lists this ribosomal RNA (1355 nucleotides) under metagenome. RNAcentral's name for it is "bacterial SSU rRNA". It matches the Rfam family "Bacterial small subunit ribosomal RNA", at positions 160 to 1498 of the family's 1533-position model. The record is from RNAcentral.